AUUGAACGCUGGCGGCAUGCCUUACACAUGCAAGUCGAACGGUAACGGGCCUUCGGGUGCCGACGAGUGGCGAACGGGGUGAGUAAUGUAUCGGAACGUACCUUUCAGUGGGGGAUAACGUAGCGAAAGUUACGCUAAUACCGCAUAUUCUGUGAGCAGGAAAGCAGGGGGAUCGCAAGACCUUGCGCUGAUUGAGCGGCCGAUAUCAGAUUAGCUAGUUGGUGAGGUAAGGCUCACCAAGGCGACGAUCUGUAGCGGGUCUGAGAGGAUGAUCUGCCACACUGGAACUGAGACACGGUCCAGACUCCUACGGGAGGC
This 318-nucleotide ribosomal RNA is filed under the name uncultured bacterium. RNAcentral's name for it is "bacterial SSU rRNA". It matches the Rfam family "Bacterial small subunit ribosomal RNA", at positions 30 to 349 of the family's 1533-position model. The record is from RNAcentral.